This 740-nucleotide ribosomal RNA is filed under the name Niallia circulans. Its description in RNAcentral is "bacterial SSU rRNA". It matches the Rfam family "Bacterial small subunit ribosomal RNA", at positions 97 to 822 of the family's 1533-position model. The record is from RNAcentral. Lineage: Bacteria; Bacillati; Bacillota; Bacilli; Caryophanales; Bacillaceae.
GGCGGACGGGUGAGUAACACGUGGGCAACCUGCCUGUAAGACUGGGAUAACUUCGGGAAACCGGAGCUAAUACCGGAUAAUCCUUUUCCUCUCAUGAGGAAAAGCUGAAAGACGGUUUACGCUGUCACUUACAGAUGGGCCCGCGGCGCAUUAGCUAGUUGGUGAGGUAACGGCUCACCAAGGCGACGAUGCGUAGCCGACCUGAGAGGGUGAUCGGCCACACUGGGACUGAGACACGGCCCAGACUCCUACGGGAGGCAGCAGUAGGGAAUCUUCCGCAAUGGACGAAAGUCUGACGGAGCAACGCCGCGUGAGUGAUGAAGGUUUUCGGAUCGUAAAACUCUGUUGUUAGGGAAGAACAAGUACAAGAGUAACUGCUUGUACCUUGACGGUACCUAACCAGAAAGCCACGGCUAACUACGUGCCAGCAGCCGCGGUAAUACGUAGGUGGCAAGCGUUGUCCGGAAUUAUUGGGCGUAAAGCGCGCGCAGGCGGUCCUUUAAGUCUGAUGUGAAAGCCCACGGCUCAACCGUGGAGGGUCAUUGGAAACUGGGGGACUUGAGUGCAGAAGAGAAGAGUGGAAUUCCACGUGUAGCGGUGAAAUGCGUAGAGAUGUGGAGGAACACCAGUGGCGAAGGCGACUCUUUGGUCUGUAACUGACGCUGAGGCGCGAAAGCGUGGGGAGCAAACAGGGAUUAGAUACCCUGGUAGUCCACGCCGUAAACGAUGAGUGCUAAGUG